RNAcentral lists this long non-coding RNA (1134 nucleotides) under Homo sapiens (human). RNAcentral's name for it is "HSALNT0301851". The record is from RNAcentral. Lineage: Eukaryota; Metazoa; Chordata; Mammalia; Primates; Hominidae.
AGUAAGGCAGGGAGAGGACCAACACAAUGGCACUGAUCCUCAAGAAAAUCAUUCUCAGCUUCUAAAGUUAUAAUAAUUCUCAGCUAAAGGAAGCAUACUGAACACAAUGUUGUAGAUGCAGCACUGAGGUGGCAUCUACAAGACCAUUCUCAGCUACCAGUAGGAGACUGCUAUUUAGGCUGCCUCCACAUGCCAGAUGGGAGAUGGCCCUUGGACUGGAUAUCAGCCGAGAGGUGAGCACACCAGAUGCUGGAGCACUCCUGGGAAGAGAAACAGAAAGAGGAGGAGGAAGGGUGCCAAAAACAAUGUCUUAUUUGGCCAUUUUUCCCUUGACCCUAAUGCUAGAAAGGAAGGAGAGAGGGAAGCUUAAAUAAUUUAUAAAAUCCUGGUGAAUUGUCAAUUAAGUAAAUCCUUUUUAAAAUUUUGUUUUCUUUUAUCUUCUUUUGUUUCUUUUCUAUUAUUUAGUCCUUUAUUACCUGCACUACACAGAUGUAAAAGUAGGUAACUUUUGAAUUAAACUAUACAGUGUGUGAUCCACGGAAAACUUACAUCAUGCUACAUUCACCUGCAAGUUUUUGGCAAAUGUGAAUUUAUUAGUCAUUGAAAUAAGCCAGAAAAAAUGAAACAUACUGGUUUUGUCUUAAGCUUCCCUAGCCCUUCUCUCUCCUUGGUUCAAAUGAGUCACUGACCUGCUCUAGUACACAUCUUGGAAUCUUCGUAACUUCAUAACUUUAUCUUUUGUGAGUUCUUUCAUGCCUGGUUUGAAACUAAGGAAGUGGAAGCAGGGAAGAUAGAAGUGGAAAAUAAUGGAAUUGCUGGAAGAAAAGAAAACUAAGAGAAGAGUCACUUACCAGGACCCAUCAUUCCUUUUACAUUACUGUCUCCUACAUGAACAGAUCUGGACUCUUGGGCUGCAGAGAAAGGAAAGCAUUCAUUCAGCGUUCAUUCCACUAACAUGGACUAAGCACCUUCCACGAGCCUGGCACUGGGGGCAGACUCAGAGAUUGUAGUUUCAUGGGGGAGGCAGAGCAGUAAAAAAAAGAAAUUACAGUAUAGUGUGGCAAGUGCUAUUUUCUCAGCUGUAAAAAGAUAUAAUAGUGGUACUUACCUCAAGGAUUACAAUAAGAAAUAAAU